CGGGUGAGUAAUAUAUCGGAACGUGCCCAGUAGUGGGGGAUAGCCCGGCGAAAGCCGGAUUAAUACCGCAUACGACCCACGGGUGAAAGGGGGGAUCGCAAGACCUCUCGCUAUUGGAGCGGCCGAUAUCAGAUUAGCUAGUUGGUGGGGUAAAAGCUCACCAAGGCGACGAUCUGUAGCUGGUCUGAGAGGACGACCAGCCACACUGGGACUGAGACACGGCCCAG
This 227-nucleotide ribosomal RNA is filed under the name uncultured bacterium. RNAcentral describes it as "partial 16S ribosomal RNA". It matches the Rfam family "Bacterial small subunit ribosomal RNA", at positions 103 to 334 of the family's 1533-position model. The record is from RNAcentral.